This 459-nucleotide ribosomal RNA is filed under the name uncultured bacterium. RNAcentral's name for it is "partial 16S ribosomal RNA". It matches the Rfam family "Bacterial small subunit ribosomal RNA", at positions 338 to 795 of the family's 1533-position model. The record is from RNAcentral.
CCUACGGGGCGCAGCAGUGAGGAAUAUUGGUCAAUGGGCGGGAGCCUGAACCAGCCAAGUCGCGUGAGGGUAGAAGGUACUGAGUAUUGUAAACCUCUUUUGCCAGGGGACAAAGGCGGCCACGGGUGGCCGUAAGAGGGUACCUGGAGAAAAAGCAUCGUCUAACUCCGUGCCAGCAGCCGCGGUAAUACGGAGGAUGCGAGGUUUAUCCGGUUUUAUUGGGUUAAAGGGGUGCUCAGGCGGCGUGUAAAGCCAGCGGUAAAUUGUCGGGGCAAAACGCCGGCGGGCCGUUGAAACUGGCGUGCUCGAAUGGGGAUGAAGUGGGAGGAAUGUGUGGUGUAGCGGUGAAAUGCAUAGAUAUCACACAGAACACCGAUUGCGAAGGCAGCAUACGGACUCGAGACUGACGCUGAGGCACGAAAGCGUGGGUAUCGAACAGGAUUAGAUACCCCAGUAGUC